This 253-nucleotide ribosomal RNA is filed under the name uncultured bacterium. RNAcentral's name for it is "partial 16S ribosomal RNA". It matches the Rfam family "Bacterial small subunit ribosomal RNA", at positions 524 to 776 of the family's 1533-position model. The record is from RNAcentral.
UACGUAGGGGCCAAGCGUUAUCCGGAUUUACUGGGCGUAAAGCGCAUGUAGGCGGUUGACUAAGUCGGAUGUGAAAGCUCCUGGCUUAACUGGGAGAGGCCAUUCGAAACUAGUCGGCUGGAGGGUGGUAGAGGAGAGCGGAAUUCCAGGUGUAGCGGUGAAAUGCGUAGAUAUCUGGAGGAACACCAGUGGCGAAAGCGGCUCUCUGGACCAUUCCUGACGCUGAGAUGCGAAAGCCAGGGGAGAGAACGGG